CCUGGAAUCCCAUCAGAUAGUUACCUUCCUCCCCCUACUAAUCAAAGCCAAAACCAAGGUGUAACGGAUUACCAGAGCUUGCAGAACUUUCUUGACAACGAAGAGGCAGAAACUACUGGUAAUGGCAAUGACCCAAAACCGGAGGAGGUUGAACAACUAUGUCAAUGGCUUGCAAAGGUUUUGGCUGGGGAUGAGGAGUGAUGCUGGUAACUGAAAUUCUCUUCAGUACACUGCAAACUCUUUUAUUUGAUCAACUAAUCGAAUGAUGUCUAUACAGUAAACUGUACUAAAAUUUUCAUAUGCAGUAGUAAUAUGUUUUUUCCUAACACUUUACAAGUACUUUUGUUUUGCUG
This 353-nucleotide long non-coding RNA is filed under the name Carica papaya (papaya). RNAcentral's name for it is "long non-coding RNA (CPAP_LNC001578)". The record is from RNAcentral. Lineage: Eukaryota; Viridiplantae; Streptophyta; Magnoliopsida; Brassicales; Caricaceae.